This 844-nucleotide ribosomal RNA is filed under the name Elphidium sp. S23. Its description in RNAcentral is "SSU rRNA". It matches the Rfam family "Eukaryotic small subunit ribosomal RNA", at positions 1160 to 1816 of the family's 1831-position model. The record is from RNAcentral. Lineage: Eukaryota; Foraminifera; Rotaliida; Elphidiidae.
AAGGGCACCACAAGAACGCGUGGAGCAUGUGGCUUAAUUUGACUCAACGCGGGAAAUCUUACCGGGUCCGGACACACUGAGGAUUGACAGACAUUUAUAUACCGUAACAAGUAUAUAUUUAAAGAUGCUAGUUCUUUCAUGAUUAUGUGAUAGGUGGUGCAUGGCCGUUCUUAGUUCGUGGAGUGAUCUGUCUGCUUAAUUGCGUUUCAUAUUAUUAUAUAAUAUACACACAUCACGUGUGUUAUAUUAUUACUUUGAAAGCAACGAACGUGACCGUAGCCUUUUAUUAUAUACGCUACACGUAUAUUAAUUAAAGGGACCGCUGUAUCUUUCUUUAAACCAGAGUAAGGUUACGGCAAUAACAGGUCUGUGAUGCCCUUCGAUGUUCCGGGCUGCACACGUGCUACAAUGAUUAUUUCAUUAAGUAUCUACUGUGCAAUAAUAUAUUAUUAUUAUUCAAAAAACCUACUCUGAGAAUGAGCGGGUAAUCAAUUAGAAGUAAUGAUUUCCAAAUUUAUACACUCAUGUACCGUAUAUAUUAUCCCAUAUUUUAAUUAAUAUGCGUGUAUAAUAUUGUACGCUGUACGUAUAUUUAUUAAUUCAUGGUGGGGAUAGACUAUUGUUAAUUGUUGGUCUCGGUCUUAACUAGGAAUGCCUUGUACGGGUCAUUGGUUCAACAGACCACCCGGAAUACGUCCCUGCCCUUUGUACACACCGCCCGUCGCUCUUACCGAUGAACUUCGCUAUGAAUCUAUUGGACUGUACCAUUGUGGUAUGGAAAGAUAUAUGAAUAGUGUGGUUUAAAGGAAAGAGAAGUCGUAACAAGGCAUCCGUAGGUGAACCU